ACGUCCACACCUUCUUGCAGCACGUGGUUACCUUCGGGAUUGUCAAGAACGAGGACUUGGAUUUGUACCGGAAGCUUGUUAUUGCUUCCGCUUGGAGGAAACAGAUGCCAAAGCUCGCGCUUUCGCUUGGUCUUACUCAGCAAAUGCCUGGUAUAGUCACAAUUACGCCGCAAAUUGAUUUUGUCGAUUUGUUAUUUGCUUGCUGAAAGUGUUGUGUUUGCGUUGAUUGUUUUUAGAUAUGAUUGAAGAGUUGAUCAGCAAAGGGCAGCAGCUUGAUGCAGUUCAUUUUACAUAUGAGGUGGGUCUUGUGGACAAGUUCCCUCCUGUUCCCUUGUUGAAGUCUUUUCUCAAGGAUGCUAAGAAAGUUGCGGCUUCUAUUUUGGAAGAUCCUAACAAUGCAGGCCGAGCAGCGGUAUUUUUCCCAUUUUGUUUUUAAUGUCUUUGUUUUUGUGUUUUGGUUUGGUUUAGUUCUUGAACGAGUAAAACUUUUCGAGAAACAUUUGUAUCAGAUGAAAAUAACAGGGUAAAAAGAAGUUUAGUUAUUUUCUAAGCUCAACAUCUGAAGAAGUGGAGAAAUUAAAUGUGAGAACUUUUAUGAGAAUUAAGUUUAACUCUUAAGGAAGUGAAGUAGUUUAAUUCAUAAAACAGAAGUUAGCUGUAGCUCAUAAGGAAGUAGUUUAAUUCAUAAAACAGAAGUUAGCUGUAGCUAAGGAAGUAGUUUAAUUCAUAUUAUUUCGUUCAUUUAGAAAAGCUUAUGGAGUAGUUUAUCCAAACCAGCCCUUACUAGGUCAACGUGCAGAGGCUGAACUGUCUUUUCUUUUAUGCUUGACGAGUUUAUCUGUGAAUGUGUAGUCGGUAGUUUAUGCGCGUUUCUAUUUUUGGUUUAUUUUGUAUAGACAGAGGAUGCAGCUUUUUAGAAAGAAUAUGCCUAGGAUUCAGUUUUAGAUAGGAGAAGAGAGUGGUGAUAUCUUUCAGGUCUUAGUAUUCGUACUUGGUUAGACACUGAUCUGAUUUCUGAUCCUUCUCAUCUAUUUGUUUUGCUUCUUUGGUUAGUUGGAAGAAAAUAAAGGUCCGGAAAUGGUAAAAGCGCUCUAUUUGUGAAGUGUUGUUUUCUUGAGUUAUUAGAAGUGGUGGGUUUAAUAUAUUAACGAUCUUUUUGUUUUUUUCAUUGUUGAAUGAAAUUUGGCAGUACCUAGCUGCAAGGAAAGAGCAGUCUGCACUCAGGGCUGUGAUUAAAUGCAUUGAAGAAUACAAACUUGAGGCUGAUUUCCCUCCAGAAAAUCUGAAGAAGCGACUUGAACAGUUGGAGAAGGUGAAGACAGUGAAGACCGAGAAAAGGAAACCGGCUGCUGUUCCUGCCAAUAAGAGAACUCGAGCAAGCAACAGCAAUGGAGGUCCAAUGCCACCAGCCAAAGCUGGGCGUUUGACUAAUGCUUAUGUAUCAUCUUUCCCUGCUGCUCCUACAUUUGUUAGGUCUCCAUCACACGGGCAAUACCCAGCUGCUCUUCCACCAUACCCUUCCCCACCCCACAUGUAUGGCAGCAGAAGUCCCCCGGCAAAUCCUUAUGCUGCUUAUUCGCCUGAGCCUGCACCAGCUAUUGCAGGGUCUUAUCCAGCGGCUCCCAUGAAUUAUCCUGCAUAUGGUGGCUAUGGAAAUGUCUUGGCACCCACUUAUCAGCAGGCUUACUACCGAUAGAAAUGACAACCCUCGAAGAUGGUAACCACUGAUAUGACGACCUUGAUCCAAUUUACUUUCGCAAUGUUGUUUGUAAUCACUAACCGUUUAACGGUAGCA
This 1795-nucleotide long non-coding RNA is filed under the name Vigna radiata. Its description in RNAcentral is "long non-coding RNA (VRAD_LNC016242)". The record is from RNAcentral. Lineage: Eukaryota; Viridiplantae; Streptophyta; Magnoliopsida; Fabales; Fabaceae.